Molecule: ribosomal RNA, 468 nt
Filed under: uncultured bacterium
Lineage: Bacteria
Description: partial 16S ribosomal RNA
Rfam family: Bacterial small subunit ribosomal RNA
Source: RNAcentral
GACGAACGCUGGCGGCGUGCUUAACACAUGCAAGUCGAACGGAAAGGCGCUGCUUUUGUGUGGUGCUCGAGUGGCGAACGGGUGAGUAACACGUGAGUAUCCUGCCCUUGACUUUGUGAUAACUUCAGGAAACUGGGGCUAAUAUCGGGUAGAAGCUCCUGCUGCAUGGUGUGGGUUGGAAAGUGUCGGCGGUUGGGGAUGGACUCGCGGCUUAUCAGCUUGUUGGUGGGGUAGUGGCUUACCAAGGCUUCGACGGGUAGGCGGCCUGAGAGGGUGAACGGGCACAUUGGGACUGAGAGACGGAGCAGACGGGUAAGGGAGGCAGCAGUCGGGAAUAUUGCGGAGUGGGGGGAAGCCUGAGGCAGCGACGCCGCGUGCGGGAUGACGGGCUUCGGGUUGUAAACCGCUUUGGCCUGUGACGAAGAGUGAGUGACGGUAAUGGGUAAAGAAGCACCGGCUAACUACGUG